RNAcentral lists this ribosomal RNA (1336 nucleotides) under Cutibacterium granulosum. RNAcentral's name for it is "partial 23S ribosomal RNA". It matches the Rfam family "Bacterial large subunit ribosomal RNA", at positions 786 to 2002 of the family's 2925-position model. Lineage: Bacteria; Bacillati; Actinomycetota; Actinomycetes; Propionibacteriales; Propionibacteriaceae. The record is from RNAcentral.
CAGUUGAAAAUGGAGGGGAUGAGCUGUGGAUAGGGGUGAAAGGCCAAUCAAACACCGUGAUAGCUGGUUCUCCCCGAAAUGCAUUUAGGUGCAGCGUUGCGUGGUUCUUGUCGGAGGUAGAGCACUGGAUGGUCUAGGGGGCCUAUCAGCUUACCGAAAUCAGCCAAACUCCGAAUGCCGGCAAGUGGAGCGUGGCAGUGAGACGGCGGGGGAUAAGCUUCGUCGUCGAGAGGGAAACAGCCCAGAUCAUCAGCUAAGGCCCCUAAGUGGUAGCUCAGUGGAAAAGGAUGUGGAGUUGCGCAGACAGCCAGGAGGUUGGCUUGGAAGCAGCCAUCCUUGAAAGAGUGCGUAAUAGCUCACUGGUCAAGUGAUUCCGCGCCGACAAUGUAGCGGGGCUUAAGUUAUCCGCCGAAGCUGUGGCAAACCCGUUUUGCGGGUUUGGGUAGGGGAGCGUCCUGUACGAGGUGAAGCUGCCGGGUGACCGUGUGGUGGAUUGUGCGGGAGUGAGAAUGCAGGCAUGAGUAGCGAAUGACGGGUGAAAAACCCGUCCGCCGAUUAUCCAAGGGUUCCAGGGUCAAGUUAAUCUGCCCUGGGUGAGUCGGGACCUAAGGCGAGGCCGACAGGCGUAGUCGAUGGAUAACCAGUUGAUAUUCUGGUACCGGCUUGUCACCGUCCGUGUCGAGGUGUGUGAUGCUAAGCGUGCGAGCCUGCCAUUGUGAUGUCUUUGAUGUUGUGGUGGUGUGGUGAGUGUGUGAACCGAUCAUGUAGUAGGCAAGCUGCGGAGGGACGCAGGGAGGUAGCUCAUCCCCGGCGAUGGUUGUCCGGGGCUAAAUGUGUGGACCGUCUGGUAGGUAAAUCCGCUGGGCAUAUGGUUGAGGCAUGAUGGCGAGCCCACGUGUGUGGGUGAGUGAGUGAUCCUGUACUGUCGAGAAAAGCUUCGUGAGCGAGGUGGCUGGUCCGCCCGUACCCUAAACCGACACUGGUGGAUAGGUAGAGUAUACCGAGGCGAUCGAGAUCAUCAUGGUGAAGGAACUCGGCAAAAUGCCCCCGUAACUUCGGGAUAAGGGGGACCUGAACUGUUAAGGCCUGUACGGCUGGUAGCAGUGAGGGGCGCAGAGACCAGGGGGAAACGACUGUUUACCAAAAACACAGGUCCGUGCGAAGUCGUAAGACGAUGUAUACGGACUGACUCCUGCCCGGUGCUGGAAGGUUAAGGGGAACUGUUAGCGUUGGCGAAGCGGUGAACUUAAGCCCCAGUAAACGGCGGUGGUAACUAUAACCAUCCUAAGGUAGCGAAAUUCCUUGUCGGGUAAGUUCCGACCUGCACGAAUGGAGU